RNAcentral lists this transfer RNA (77 nucleotides) under Anaerobacillus sp. HL2. RNAcentral describes it as "tRNA-Asp". It matches the Rfam family "tRNA". From Rfam's summary of the family: Transfer RNA (tRNA) molecules are approximately 80 nucleotides in length. The record is from RNAcentral. Lineage: Bacteria; Bacillati; Bacillota; Bacilli; Caryophanales; Bacillaceae.
GGACCCGUGGUGUAGCGGUUAACAUGCCUGCCUGUCACGCAGGGAGAUCGCCGGUUCGAUCCCGGUCGGGUCCGCCA